Long non-coding RNA from Dicentrarchus labrax (European seabass), 3469 nucleotides. NCBI's taxonomy places the organism in Eukaryota, Metazoa, Chordata, Actinopteri, Moronidae. The record is from Ensembl.
AUGGCUUCCAAGAAAAGAAUCAAUUCCCAUCCAAGCAUUAAAGCCGCCCUUAAAAUGAAGUGGGUGAAUUCCAGUGAUGUACUGGGACAGAUGUAUAAUAAGACAGAAGUUCAAGAAAAUCUCGUCAUGUGCCUUCUAUCUUCCUUGGGCUGGAAAACAGCUUGGUGUCUGAGUGCCUCGAGUGAAGUCAGCCCUCAUCAGCAACAAUCAAGUAAGGAGCAGCCAAUACCGCGUGACCUGGCCGGCAGGAAACCAUGUGACACAGCAGUCCAGACCACCAGACCAAAGACGUGCUUCAGACUUAUAGAAGAACUCCCUACAAUGUACAGUCAUAAAACUGUAUGCUGUAAUCAUAUAUUUUUAAUAAUUUCCUAGCUUUGUUUUGACUGAGGUGUAGGAAAACUAACUAAAUGGCAACAUUCAGCAUCACAAUUAAGCACUUAGUAUACAGUAUGCACCAUUAUUUGUAGGCUCAUAAACAGACAAUCAACGCAUUCAUGAAGUUUUCAUAUUAAGUGUACAUGACUAGUAAAGAAGUCACACAUGAUUGAUAGACAUCCCUGUUAUCUCUUUGAGUGACACACCAUAAUGGUUGGCCUCAUAUGGCUCUCAGAGCUGUAUCAAAGGCUUGAUUUUGGGAUACUUUCUUCAGGUACUACACAGUAAGGAAAAUCUUGUCCUUUUCAUCUAUGGCAAAGUUACAGUGAUACCACGUUUGAUGUCUGAGCCAAGAACUCUCAGCUAAAGCACUGCUGCACUUUGAAGUUCCUUGUUGUGCAGGCACAGUUGAGAAUUCAUUUAAUGUUCUGAUAGUGUGUCACAUGAUGGGUCUAAGCAUGAAAGCUGAAGCUCUGUAAGGGUUGGGAAUAAAGAUUUCUUUUUUAAACCCCUGGCUCCUCGCUAUGCGCCACCAUAUGCUCUCUGAUGCUUUAUCCUGCCCCGUGCUCACGGCUGCCGCUAGCUAUCUCUUACAGACAUGGAGCAUAAAAAGAGCACGCACCACAUUAGGUAGACUGGAAUAAAGAAAGAGAGAUCGUGCUGUGAUCCACUUUGGUUGGUAAAGCCCCAGAGCAAGCAUAGUGGUUAUAUGAACAGCAGCAGACAUGAUACACACACCACAAACACACAUAUAAACACACACACACACACACACACACACACACACACACACACACACACACACACACACACCUGUGCUCACACACACGCAAAGUUACACUGGGAGAGUGGGAGCUGCAAUGGAAACUCUGAGUCAUGAGCACUCCUUUGCCAUUCUGAACCUAAAUCAUUGUGGCAUUGAGUCACUACAGGGCUUCCUGUGUGUUCAUUUGCGUGUCUGCAUGUGUGAGCGUGGACGAGCUCAAUCUAUAAGCCGGGGCUGUAUAUUUAAAGCUCUGUGCGGUUCCCUUUUGUAUGCAUGUACAGUCUCAUCUUAUUUGCAGUGUUUCUCUUCACAUGCAGAUUGUGCUAGGGGAUUGUACUGACACAUACAAUAUAUAUGAUAUAUGUAUACGUGUUCCCAGCGUGUGUGCACAUUUACAUUAAAAUCAGCCACGAGAGGAAACCCCUUUUAUGAGAGCUGUGGAAACUGUAAACACUGUAUCACUGUGCCGCUGAGGCACUUGUGUUGCAAUGAUUUUGUGAAGAGAAGACCAGAGAAGGGAAGAGAAGCCCAAAUACAUAUCUGGUAGGCAGCUUCUCUUACAGAUCAAGGGUGUAGGCAAGGCUGCCACAAAUAGUAGCACAGAGGGGGAUUUUUAUUUCUCUCUUAUUACUGUCUUACACAUCUUUCUCGUGCUCACCUUUCAAGCCUCAAAUCAAGCUUCCCUGCAUCCUACAGCACAGUUCAGUCUCCAAGCUUCAGUACAUUUUGAUAGCACAUAACAUGGUUGACAUGUCAACACAACCCUGGUCAGCAAUCACACAAUUUCCAUAGAGAUAAUGAGGGCUUUUAACAUUCCUGUUGCACUAGUAAGAUUGUGAAAAGUACAUGCAGGCAAACACACACACAUACACACGCACAGUUAAAGAGAUAUGUAGAGGGCAUAAUGACCUGCAGCAGGACUGAGAUGUGUUUGUGGUUGCAGUGGCUUGAUAAGCAGGAUGGCUACAUGAAAAUUAAUGUGAUAAGGCGUUGUACAUUGUGCUGCUGUUUGCUAGCCGUGAUCCACUUCGAUCCGAUGCUAUCAUGCAAGACUUGGCAGUCGGCUAGCAGUCAGGGUAACGUGCUCGCCACAGAAUUUAAAGAUAGCAUUUAUAGACCAGUCACCACCCAGAUAUAUUGCAGCUCAUGGAGAUGAGAAACAAGCUGUUGGAUUCUGCUGAAGGAAUGGAAAUUCUGGACCAAAACAGUGUUGUGGAGUUCACAUUGUGGCCAUUCUCAGUCAUUUUAAGCAAUCAUAGAAGAUUGUGUGGACACCAAACAUCCUUCUGAGACCACAGUAAAAAUAUCUUAGCCAUGACAAUUGCCAGUUGUUGAUCAGAAGUCAUCUUAGUCUGAGCUGGGCCCCGAGCUGAUUCGAAAAUCUGUAGGAGUAACUGUGAGACAGGAAGGUGGGAGGCUUUGAAACUGAAACCAGCCCAAAUGGAAUCAGAUGCAUGUUAAGCCAACCGCCAUCAGCCCACUUCUGACUGCCUAAAAGCUUCUGACCUUUGAGCAUUAGAUGGAUAUGGAAAUAGUUGCUUAACAGGUUUUGAACACACACGACCUGCAUGAGUAUGCACAUGAAUACAUGCACAGGUUCUUGGCUCUGGUGACUGUGUAACACUCAGAAAAAUAUCUACACAAAUGUGUUGCAAUUCAAAGGCACAUACCAGCACUAAUGUAGUUUCAAGUGUAGUGCAUGUUGGACCUUAUUAUUUGCUUUCAAAAAGGCAUGAUCCACCAGAGAGAGCAGGUAGCAACUGAGCAUUUUGACUCUCCUCCACUUCAGGCAGGCAGACCAAGAGGAAUGAAGCGCCUGCCUGCCUCAGAUGACUCAUCCCCAUUGAUGAGCUUAACAGCCAUCAAUUCCACUCUAGGGAGCGGGGCCCAGCACUCUCCCCCACCCGCUGCACUUCUGCCUGGGCUAGGCUUCCUCUACACUCCCCCCUCUCCCAGCAGAAGGCCUGGAGCUUAAAUUAGAGCUCUGGCAGUGGGCCAUGUGAGAGAAGAGCAGUGAGCAGACAGCAGCCAUUCAUUCCUCUGUAAGCCUGAGUCACAUUCAUUGUAACACAGAGACAGGGCUGGGGGCUGGCUUAGAAUGGGCCUGUUAGUUUUUCCACAGUGGAGCCGAGCUAGUCUUCUUCUGCAAAAACGUUCCAUCACAGUUUGAGAAAAAAACUGCUGUCAAAAUGCAACUCAGCACUAAUAACAGAUUAGCUGAUGAGCUUUUGUAUGAAAUGUGUUGCUGUUCCACAUGAUGUUAGUGCUGUAUCUUUGUCACCCAUGAAGAAAUAAGUGCUUUGUAUCUUUCCUUUGAGACAUUGA